CAUUUCAGAUUUUUUUCAAUUAUUCCCACGAUUUUACGUAUGUGCCUUGUUGCGUUCUAAUCUGUUGUUGUUCUUCCCAUCUGCGAAAUUUGUACCCAUCUUCCAAAAAAUUCAAUCGAAAAAACCAGAAACCAAAAUCAGUUACAUAUUGAUAGAAGUAUAGAGAGAAGGAAAGUUGGAGUAUUUGAUAGAAUUUGCAGAAACCAACGAAGAGCCCACAUUUUCGCAUCUUGAGAAUGAUAGGAAGAGAAUGUUAAACCCUUGCGUGAGGUACCCAAAUUGAAAGAAUGCUUCUCAAAAUUCACGAAAAUAAUAACUCAAGUCUUAAAUCUUUCCAGCUUUGCAAAGGAGAUUCAAGAGCUUGUUUAAUGGGAUAAUGUCUGCUCUUAGUUUUUCUCCUUCAAAGGAAAAAUUGUGGCGGUAGAGUUCCUCUUGCAAGGUUGACUGGUUGGACUAGGGAUGCAAAGUUUUACGAUUCAAUCACAGAAACAUGGGAUGCAAAGCUUUCAAGUGGUGGAUGAACCAGAUGGAACUGCUUAAUGAAAUUGAUAGCUUGAAGGUGAUAAUUGAUAAACAAGGCUAUGAGCUGUGACAGAAAGAAAAUGAACAUGGCAAGGGGACAGGGGAAAAAUCAGUGAACACCUGUGUUGUUAUUGUUGCUGUUUCCUGUUUUUUCAUGAUUUUAGGAAUGUUUUUAGUGAUUAAGAUAGGCUAGUAUAGUUGGUUAGGGUAAGAAUCAACCAUGCUCAAAGAAGUAGAGCGUUUAGGUUGUUGGAUUGAAGUUGUAAGGGCUUGAAAAUUGUAAGUUUCCGGUGGUUGAAUGAAAUAAGAUGCAGUUUCGAGUAAUUAAACAUA
Molecule: long non-coding RNA, 855 nt
Organism: Spinacia oleracea (spinach)
Lineage: Eukaryota; Viridiplantae; Streptophyta; Magnoliopsida; Caryophyllales; Amaranthaceae
Exons: 2
Source: RefSeq, a predicted model, not a curated record